AAUUUUGGACAAUGGGGGAAACCCUGAUCCAGCCAUCCCGCGCGUAUGAUGAAGGCCGUCGGGUUGUAAAGUACUUUUGUCAGAGAAGAAAAGGUACAUCUUAAUACGAGGUACUGCUGACGGUAUCUGCAGAAUACGCACUGGCUAACUACGUGCCAGCAGCCGCGGUAAUACGUAGGGUGCAAGCGUUAAUCGGAAUUAAUGGGCGUAAAGCGUGUGUAGGCGGUUCGGAAAGAAAGAUGUGAAAUCCCAGGGCUCAACCUUGGAACUGCAUUUUUAACUGCCGAGCUAGAGUAUGUCAGAGGGGGGUAGAAUUCCACGUGUAGCAGUGAAAUGCGUAGAUAUGUGGAGGAAUACCGAUGGCGAAGGCAGCCCCCUGGGAUAAUACUGACGCUCAGACACGAAAGCGUGGGGAGCAAACAG
RNAcentral lists this ribosomal RNA (423 nucleotides) under uncultured bacterium. Its description in RNAcentral is "partial 16S ribosomal RNA". It matches the Rfam family "Bacterial small subunit ribosomal RNA", at positions 360 to 775 of the family's 1533-position model. The record is from RNAcentral.